Long non-coding RNA from Ictalurus punctatus (channel catfish), 665 nucleotides. The record is from Ensembl. Lineage: Eukaryota; Metazoa; Chordata; Actinopteri; Siluriformes; Ictaluridae.
GGAAAGGCAGAGAGACUGAGAGCGUGAGAUAAAGAUAUACAGCGUUAUCUCUUGUCAUAUCACCACAUCCUGCUUCUUAGGCUUCAUACGGAAGCUGUGUGUUUGUGUUCGCUAGUCCGGCCCGUGUGCGGGUAUGCAUUGGUUUAUACUCCCACAGAGAAGUCAUGGAGCUGUAAAACUGGGCGGUGUGUGUAGCGUGUAUGGGGUUGUGAUCACGGCUGUAUUCUGAUACGAUGUUUACUCUGGGUCCAAAGCAGCUAAAGCCAGACGCCUUGAUCGGGUUCUCACCCAGAUAAGCCCAGGAGGCGUCUUUCCUGACCUUCAGCCUCCGUCAUGUGGUGUGUGUUCGCUGUUAAAUCCUCUGGUCUUCCUGGCUAAAAGAUAAAAGGUGCCAGAAGGAUGAUCUUGGCUUCGUGGGGCUGUGAUGAGAGAACGCAAUCUGAGGAGAGGAUUAAGAGAAAUGAAGAGAGAGGACAGCGGUUUGAUAUCAGCUGCCUCAGUAGCAUUGUAUCUUCACAGAAGCAAACUUGAGACACCAAACAAGUCUUGGCUGAGUGAGUACAUUUGAGGUAAGUGUACAUUUUAUACAUUUUAUUCUUCCUCCAACUAUCACUUAAUGGAGAACUUAACGGAAAACCUCAGGGAGAACUCUUGAAAGUUUGAUU